CUAUAUCGAUCUCCGAUCCACAGAAGAUGCUCUCCGCUUCGAGUUAGGCCAAGAACGACCGUGGCUACCUUCCCUCGCCGACGCGGUUGGACGGUCGUCAUUCUUCGAGUGAUUGCUGGUGUAAAUCUUCCAAGCCGCGACACUGUGCUCAAAAGAUCGACAAGAGAUAAAAACCUAGGAAUAGCACAAACAGUUCCAGUUGGAUUGAUAAAAUCCUUAGUUUGAAGACCCUUAAUUGUGCAUGAUCUUUUAACAGCAAAAAUCACAGAACAAACAAGCAUUUCCCCAAAACUACAUCUUGGAGGAAGUUUUUCCUGUAUCUGAGAAGAUAUCAAAUACUGUAGAAUGAAUUCAACAAACUCUUUUGUGACUCCUUGCCGAGCAAAGCAAGAUAGCAUUCAAGUUGAUGUUAAAGAACGGCAGCCCCUCCCAAACCUAAUCGGGGUUGUUCGAGGACGAACAAUGAUGCAAUUGUGAGGAGGGAAGUUUAAUUGUUACAACAAAUAUUUUUGUAAAUUUGAGUGCAACAAGAUAAAUCAUGGGAGUUUUCACUUGUUUCCCCUUCGUACUAAA
Long non-coding RNA from Andrographis paniculata, 573 nucleotides. RefSeq lists it as uncharacterized. The transcript is spliced from 4 exons. The record is from RefSeq and is a predicted model, not a curated record. NCBI's taxonomy places the organism in Eukaryota, Viridiplantae, Streptophyta, Magnoliopsida, Lamiales, Acanthaceae.